Molecule: long non-coding RNA, 1296 nt
Organism: Esox lucius (northern pike)
Lineage: Eukaryota; Metazoa; Chordata; Actinopteri; Esociformes; Esocidae
Source: Ensembl
UUUUGAGUGAGGAACAGAAGGUUAAAAUUAAUAUACCACUGCAAAUUGAACGCUUCUGUUCCUCAAUCAAAACCUUCCUUUUUGACUUUUUUGGAAAAGGAAAGAAAAAGGUACAGUGGUCUCUUCAUUUUUUCCAGAGCUGUUAGUAUUUACUCUUUCUGAACAGUAAAGUGUCUUUCCGUUGGUUAGUGGGUUGGGAAAUGACCGGUAACCAGUGCAUAAGAGACAAGCCUUGGAGUGAGGCCAACUCCUUGUCGUGCAACAGUCAUCCAUGAGGAACCUCAGGGACUGUUAUCUAUUAUGGACGUCAUUGCUGCACAGGAGACAAAUCGUGCCACAAUUACAGUGAUUGCACUUGGUAGACUGGACAGUAUCUGCACUACACUUCUCAGGGCAAAUUAUUUAUCAACCUGACUGAACUUACGUAGAGCCCAGUCGAAGCUUUAGAGGCGAUGUACACUAUGCUCAUAACUGCUAAGAAAAGGGAUUUUAAUACUUUAGAACAAUUGUCUUACUCAAGACAACAGAAAUGGAUGUACACUCCAGGCCUUAUAGGCUUGGUCCUUGACAUUUCGUCUGACCCCGCCUUCAGAAUUACCUCCAAAAGGGACACUUUAUGGCAGGCUUCCAUACCAGAGGCAGACAGGUUCUUCGUGUAGCAUGCGAAUGGCUCCAUUGGGGAUACGAGGACUCUUUGUUAGAUGUGGUGGUUAUAACUACCCUGAUGUUGUCAGUCUCAUGCUGUGAAGUGAUGCUGUUGGCUGGUGGUUGCUCCAGGAUCGAUUCGCUACCAGAUAUGUCCAAAUACUAAUUCAAGUGAAAUCUUGAAUACGUACUUCAAAUUAUUUUAUUUUUUAUUGGAUGUAUGCAGGUCUUCCAACCUCACGGUUAAAGGAGUGUACAUUUCACUCAUGUUUACAGUGUUUGUACAUGAAUCGAUUACAGGUCACCUGGUUCAGCCCUCAGCAUCUUACAGAACCAGCAUUUUACAGUAUAAACACCAAAAUACUGAAUUUAUUUCGAAACAUUGCUAAUGCGGGCACACUUUAUCCCAAAAACCCUCAGGCAUGUUUGAGAGGCUGUGUGAUGUCAUUAGUCAUCUAGAAAGGACCCAAGUCUCCUUUAAUGGCUCAGUUAAUGUGCCCACACUCAGAAUUUCAGUUGAUGUGAUGGUGCUGCAAGAGGUGGACAACAUAUAGGGACAGAACACAGGAAUCUGCGUUAAGCUCACCAGAUAUACAGUGAACGAAUGAACGAAUGGACAUAUAGCUCGGGAAAAAAUGAAGAGACCACUGC